GAUGAACGCUGGCGGCGUGCCUAAUACAUGCAAGUCGAGCGAACGGACGAGAAGCUUGCUUCUCUGAUGUUAGCGGCGGACGGGUGAGUAACACGUGGAUAACCUACCUAUAAGACUGGGAUAACUUCGGGAAACCGGAGCUAAUACCGGAUAAUAUUUUGAACCGCAUGGUUCAAAAGUGAAAGACGGUCUUGCUGUCACUUAUAGAUGGAUCCGCGCUGCAUUAGCUAGUUGGUAAGGUAACGGCUUACCAAGGCAACGAUGCAUAGCCGACCUGAGAGGGUGAUCGGCCACACUGGAGCUGAGACACGGUCCAGACUCCUACGGGAGGCAGCAGUAGGGAAUCUUCCGCAAUGGGCGAAAGCCUGACGGAGUAACGCCGCGUGAGUGAUGAAGGUCUUCGGAUCGUAAAACUCUGUUAUUAGGGAAGAACAUAUGUGUAAGUAACUGUGCACAUCUUGACGGUACCUAAUCAGAAAGCCACGGCUAACUACGUG
RNAcentral lists this ribosomal RNA (497 nucleotides) under uncultured bacterium. RNAcentral describes it as "partial 16S ribosomal RNA". It matches the Rfam family "Bacterial small subunit ribosomal RNA", at positions 28 to 507 of the family's 1533-position model. The record is from RNAcentral.